CCUACGGGAGGCAGCAGUGGGGGAUAUUGCACAAUGGGGGGAACCCUGAUGCAGCGACGCCGCGUGGGUGAAGAAGCGCCUCGGCGCGUAAAGCCCUGUCAGCAGGGAAGAAAAUGACGGUACCUGAAGAAGAAGCCCCGGCUAACUACGUGCCAGCAGCCGCGGUAAUACGUAGGGGGCAAGCGUUAUCCGGAUUUACUGGGCGUAAGGGGGGCGCAGACGGCGAUGCAAGCCAGGAGUGAAAGCCCGGGGCCCAACCCCGGGACUGCUCUGGGAACUGCGUGGCUGGAGUGCAGGAGGGGCAGGCGGAAUGCCUGGUGUAGCGGUGAAAUGCGUAGAGAUCAGGAGGAACACCGGUGGCGAAGGCGGCCUGCUGGACUGCAACUGACGUUGAGGCCCGAAAGCGUGGGGAGCAAACAGGAUUAGAUACCCUUGUAGUC
This 440-nucleotide ribosomal RNA is filed under the name uncultured bacterium. Its description in RNAcentral is "partial 16S ribosomal RNA". It matches the Rfam family "Bacterial small subunit ribosomal RNA", at positions 338 to 795 of the family's 1533-position model. The record is from RNAcentral.